This 440-nucleotide ribosomal RNA is filed under the name uncultured bacterium. RNAcentral's name for it is "partial 16S ribosomal RNA". It matches the Rfam family "Bacterial small subunit ribosomal RNA", at positions 338 to 795 of the family's 1533-position model. The record is from RNAcentral.
CCUACGGGAGGCAGCAGUGGGGAAUAUUGCACAAUGGGGGAAACCCUGAUGCAGCGACGCCGCGUGAGUGAAGAAGUAAUUCGUUACGUAAAGCUCUAUCAGCAGGGAAGAAAAUGACGGUACCUGAGUAAGAAGCCCCGGAUAACUACGUGCCAGCAGCCGCGGUAAUACGUAGGGGGCAAGCGUUAUCCGGAUUUACUGGGUGUAAAGGGAGCGUAGACGGCAGUGCAAGUCUGGAGUGAAAGGGGGGGGCUCAACCCCCGGACUGCUCUGGAAACUGUACGGCUGGAGUGCAGGAGAGGUAAGUGGAAUUCCUAGUGUAGCGGUGAAAUGCGUAGAUAUUAGGAGGAACACCAGUGGCGAAGGCGGCUAACUGGACUGUAACUGACGUUGAGGCUCGAAAGCGUGGGGAGCAAACAGGAUUAGAUACCCUAGUAGUC